RNAcentral lists this ribosomal RNA (229 nucleotides) under uncultured bacterium. RNAcentral describes it as "partial 16S ribosomal RNA". It matches the Rfam family "Bacterial small subunit ribosomal RNA", at positions 568 to 796 of the family's 1533-position model. The record is from RNAcentral.
CGCGUAGGCGGUCUUGUCGGUCAGAUGUGAAAGCCCAGGGCUCAACCCUGGACGUGCAUUUGAAACAGCAAGACUUGAGUACGGGAGAGGAAAGCGGAAUUCCUGGUGUAGAGGUGAAAUUCGUAGAUAUCAGGAGGAACACCGAUGGCGAAGGCAGCUUUCUGGAUCGAUACUGACGCUGAGGCGCGAAGGCGUGGGUAGCGAACAGGAUUAGAUACCCUGGUAGUCC